GAUGAACGCUAGCUACAGGCUUAACACAUGCAAGUCGAGGGGCAGCAUGAACUUAGCUUGCUAAGUUUGAUGGCGACCGGCGCACGGGUGAGUAACACGUAUCCAACCUGCCGAUGACUCGGGGAUAGCCUUUCGAAAGAAAGAUUAAUACCCGAUGGCAUAGUUCUUCCGCAUGGUAGAACUAUUAAAGAAUUUCGGUCAUCGAUGGGGAUGCGUUCCAUUAGGUUGUUGGCGGGGUAACGGCCCACCAAGCCUUCGAUGGAUAGGGGUUCUGAGAGGAAGGUACACCACAUUGGAACUGAGAAACGGACCAAACUCCUACGGGAGGCAGCAGUGAGGAAUAUUGGGCAAUGGACGAGAGUCUGAACCAGCCAAGUAGCGUGAAGGAUGACUGCCAUAUGGGUUGUAAACUUCUUUUAUACGGGAAUAAAGUGAGGAACGGGUGCCUUUUUGUAUGUACCGUAUGAAUAAGGAUCGGCUAACUCCGUG
This 489-nucleotide ribosomal RNA is filed under the name uncultured bacterium. Its description in RNAcentral is "partial 16S ribosomal RNA". It matches the Rfam family "Bacterial small subunit ribosomal RNA", at positions 28 to 507 of the family's 1533-position model. The record is from RNAcentral.